Molecule: ribosomal RNA, 472 nt
Filed under: uncultured bacterium
Lineage: Bacteria
Description: partial 16S ribosomal RNA
Rfam family: Bacterial small subunit ribosomal RNA
Source: RNAcentral
GACGAACGCUGGCGGCGUGCUUAACACAUGCAAGUCGAACGAUGAACCCGGAGCUUGCUCUGGGGGAUUAGUGGCGAACGGGUGAGUAACACGUGAGUAACCUGCCCUGGACUCUGGGAUAAGCGUUGGAAACGACGUCUAAUACCGGAUAGGACCUUGGAUCGCAUGAUCUGGGGUGGAAAGUUUUUUCGGUCUGGGAUGGACUCGCGGCCUAUCAGCUUGUUGGUGAGGUAAUGGCUCACCAAGGCGUCGACGGGUAGCCGGCCUGAGAGGGUGACCGGACACACUGGGACUGAGACACGGCCCAGACUCCUACGGGAGGCAGCAGUGGGGAAUAUUGCACAAUGGGCGAAAGCCUGAUGCAGCAACGCCGCGUGCGGGAUGACGGCCUUCGGGUUGUAAACCGCUUUUAGUAGGGAAGAAGGGCUUCGGCUUGACGGUACCUGCAGAAAAAGGACCGGCUAACUACGUG